Molecule: long non-coding RNA, 3497 nt
Filed under: Camelus dromedarius (Arabian camel)
Lineage: Eukaryota; Metazoa; Chordata; Mammalia; Artiodactyla; Camelidae
Description: lncRNA (ENSCDRG00005020194.1)
Source: RNAcentral
ACAGAAUAUGCAUUUUUGUCAAAUGUCCCAACAAAUAGCCUCACCUACUGUCAUGAAGGUACACGACGACGAAUGGAGAAAAGGAACCAUGCUGAAUUUGAAUUUCCAAAUUCAAUCAGGAAAGUGAGUCCUGCCUCACAUAUUUGGUAGAUUUAUCACGUAUUCUUAUCUACACCGAAUUAUUUUUAUUCUGAAAACACAUGCUGUAUCAUUCGACUGCAUAAAAAGGCACUUGACCACCUCUAUUUUCAAAUUUAUGCCGCAGAUUACCUGAAAAAAUUCUCAGUCUAUUUUAAAAGAUAAGAUAAAAAAAAAAAAAACUUCCUCCGAAUUCAGCAAAAUAGGACAAUUCCUAUUUUGCAGACGCAUUUUCCUGUUCUUUGCCGGUCUACGACUCUUUCCCCCGCACUCCAGCCCGUCUUUCCCUUUUAAAAAAAAGACUCGGGCUGACAGAGAUGGCUCGGCCAGCAGCCCCGAUCCCCUCCGCCUGGGCCAUCAACAGCCGAGCGAGAAUGAACACUACAGAUGGGAGAAAAGCCUAAAGACGCAAACAAGGUAAAAGGAAAAAACGGGGGUGGGGUGGGGCGAGACCCGCCCAAACUCUCAAUCCCACCUGAGCCCACUUCCUUCACGGGACCACAUAAUACAGUCGAAAAGAUAACAAAUAUAAAAAAGGAACCCCACGCGAAAGCAAGGAAUGCUUCCUUACUCUCCGCGUCCCCGGCAUCUUCCCGGCCCACCCCACCCCCAGGGGUCCCGGCGCCAUUUAGCUCCUCCGAAGCCGCCGCCAUUUUCCGCCCCCGCCGGAUUGCUGUCUGUGCCUCGGCGGCCACUCGCUACCCUGCAGGCUACGCCACCGCCGGAGGCCCGGCCCCGAGAGGGAGGCCCUGGCCUGAGCGUGCGGGGACGGCGGCUUCAGCGUCACGAAGGCCCAGCUCCGACCCCGCCCGCAGUGCCCGAGCGCCGGCAGCUGGCGCCGGCCAGCGGGAGCAGGCGGGCAGCAAGGGGGCCGGACAGGCUCCACUGGGCGGAGCGGCCCUGGCGGCGGUUGGGACCUGAAGGUUCCAUCGCACUUACUUCCUGUUUUGGGUCCGGGCACUUUGGAAGAACCAGGAUGGAGGCUCCAAAAAAUACCAGGAUGGAGGAAGCAGCCACGGGCAAGAGUGGCUGCAGCUGGAGUGAGCGAGCGCGACGAGCCACCGGAAACGGAGCUACGGCCGCGCCCCGCCUCCAGCCCCCGCACGCUUCCCCGCCCGGCCUCCUCUCUCUUGGGGCGGCCCUGCGCGCCGACUGCUGGCGUCACUUCCGGCCAAGUCGGAGCGCGGAAAAAAGGUCUCGGGAACUGGUGCUUCAGACUCCGUCGAACUGUUUGAAGUCGGCUGUUUUUUCCUCUCCUCCUACUAGAAAAUCUGGGCUGCUCUCCCUGAGGAGCUGUCAGAGAAAACCAAUACUCGGCCCCACCCCCAGAGAGUCUGGAAGCCUCCAGGGACUCAGGUAGAGAUUUUUGUUUUCAAAGAGUUUCAGAGCCUUGAAAGUUGGAAGAGUUAGUGGUCGGAACCCUGUUACAACUCUGUGAUUCUGACCUCAUUUUACUUGUUUAAAAAACUGAUUUAUCGCACUCUGCUUUCACUACUGGGAUAACGAGUUUAAAAAUUAGACGACUAAUGUUUUUGCUUACAAUUACUAUGUGUAGAGUCACACUACAGUUGAAACAAUGGGAAUGUAGUCAGCAUCAAUUGUAAAGGUCAAAAGAAGGCUAUCGAGAGUGUGAAUAUGUAUGUCUUGCAUUGGUCUUAACUAAUGAAGCUAAUAAUGGUUAAUGAUUUCCUCUAUUUUAGCUUUUUAAAAAUUGUUUCAUGCAACCUUGGUUUCUUUUGAAUACCAAAUUUAGUUUGAAAGAAUUAGUGGAAGUGACACUAAUUUGUCCAAGGAAGGGGAAAAAAGCAAACUACACAUUGAAAUGGGUUUAGAUAGAUAAAUAUUUGUUUUAUUUUUAAGCCAAAUGUACAUAGUUUUCACCAAUAGUCCACAUUACCUAUUCUUGGGGGGUAACUUUCUCAAUCAUAAAUGUUGCAUUUAACAAAAAAGAGUGUAAAAUGAGAUGCUACUACACAUCAGUUAGAAUGGCUAAAAUCCAAAACACUGAUGACACCAAAUGCUGAUGAGGCUGUAGAACAAUAGCAACUCUCUUUCAUUGAUAGAAUGCAGAAUGGUACAGCUACUUUGGAAGACAGUUUGGUGAUUCCUAACAGAACUAAGCAUAUUCUUAUCGUAUGAUCCAGCAAUUGCUCCUUGAUAUUUAUCCUAAAUAGCUGAAACCUUAUGUCCACCUAAUUAUAACAACUUCAUUGCAAUUGCCAAAUUGUUUCUUCAAUAAGAAAGUCGAUAAAUUGCAACACAUCCAGACAAUGGAAUAUUAUCCAUUGCUAAAAAGAAAUGAGCUAUCAAGCCAGACAAAAACAUGAAGGAACCUUAAAUGCAUACCACUGAGUGAAAAAAGUCAAUCUGAAGAAGGUAUGUAAUGAAUGAUUCCAACUAUCUGGCAUUCUGGAAAGAGAAAAACUGUGGAGAUAGUGAAAAUAUCAGUAGUUGCCAGUUUAAGGCCAGAGGAAAAGACGCAAGUAGAGCACAGAGGAUUUUUUAAGGCAGCAAAACGUUUCUGUAGAAUGCUGUAAUGAUGGCAGGCACAUGGCGUUAUUCUUUUAUCAAAACCCAUAGAAUGUUCAACACCAAUAGUGAACCCUAAUGUGAACUGUGGACUUUGGUUGUUUAUGAUGUGUCUAUGCUGCUUCAUCAUUUGCAAUAAAUGUACCACUCCAGUAGGGGAUGGUGGUGGUGGAAGAGGCCAUGCAUGUGUAGGGUGGGGGGUAUAUGGGAAGUGUCUGUACCUUCCCCUCAGUUUUGAUGUAAAUUUUAAACUGCCCCCUUCACUGCCCCCAGGAAAGUCUAUGUGAACAAGAAAGUAUAAAAGAGACAAAUAAGCCUUUGGAUUUGGACAAGGUUAGUCGGCUUUUGUGUGUGUGUGUGUGUGAGUGCUUAUGUGUCAUUUAAGUGCUUUACAUACAUUAAGCUCAUGUAAUGUUCACAAGUGCCAAAGCUUCAAUAUAGUUAUUAACAAAUGAUUCCCAUUUUAGACAAGAACCCAAAAAGUGAAGGAAUGUGUCCAAGGACACAUAGCAAAUAAGUGGUAGAUUCAGAAUUGAAACCUCAUCUCCAAAGCCUAUGUGCCAAACUACCCUUCUGCAACUCAAAAAAUACACUUUGUCAACAGUCUUUAUAUUAUGAGAACAAAUUAUUACUACUAGUUUCCAGAGUUUUUACUGAACUGGAAGAAGGACCUGUCUGACCAAUUUUCAAAAAUAAAUGCCAGAAGUAGCAUUUUAUCGCAUCUAACUUUAUUACCAGUUUGUGGUAAUCUCUGUAUCACAUUGUGGUUAUGGCAUAUAUCAAUCAACUUUUAAAACUGUAAAUAAAUAAUAUAUAACCAACACUCUGAG